Molecule: ribosomal RNA, 497 nt
Filed under: uncultured bacterium
Lineage: Bacteria
Description: partial 16S ribosomal RNA
Rfam family: Bacterial small subunit ribosomal RNA
Source: RNAcentral
GAUGAACGCUGGCGGCGUGCCUAAUACAUGCAAGUCGAGCGAACAGACGAGGAGCUUGCUCCUCUGACGUUAGCGGCGGACGGGUGAGUAACACGUGGAUAACCUACCUAUAAGACUGGGAUAACUUCGGGAAACCGGAGCUAAUACCGGAUAAUAUAUUGAACCGCAUGGUUCAAUAGUGAAAGACGGUUUUGCUGUCACUUAUAGAUGGAUCCGCGCGGCAUUAGCUAGUUGGUAAGGUAACGGCUUACCAAGGCAACGAUUCGUAGCCGACCUGAGAGGGUGAUCGGCCACACUGGAACUGAGACACGGUCCAGACUCCUACGGGAGGCAGCAGUAGGGAAUCUUCCGCAAUGGGCGAAAGCCUGACGGAGCAACGCCGCGUGAGUGAUGAAGGUCUUCGGAUCGUAAAACUCUGUUAUUAGGGAAGAACAAAUUUGUAAGUAACUAUGCACGUCUUGACGGUACCUAAUCAGAAAGCCACGGCUAACUACGUG